GGACGGGUGAGUAACGCGUGAGAAUUCACCUUUAGGUGGGGAAUAACUUUUGGAAACGAUAGCUAAUGCCCCAUAGACUCGAAAGAGAAAAAAGAGCAAUCUGCCUAAAGAGAAGCUCGCGGCUGAUUAGCUAGUUGGUAAGGUAAUGGCUUACCAAGGCGACGAUCAGUAGCUGGUUUGAGAGAACGAUCAGCCACACUGGAACUGAGACACGGUCCAGACUCCUACGGGAGGCAGCAGUGGGGAAUUUUCCGCAAUGGGCGAAAGCCUGACGGAGCAAUACCGCGUGAGGGAUGACGGCCUUUGGGUUGUAAACCUCUUUUAUCAAGGAGGAAGUUCUGACGUGUACUUGAUGAAUAAGCAUCGGCUAACUCCGUGCCAGCAGCCGCGGUAAGACGGAGGAUGCAAGUGUUAUCCGGAAUCACUGGGCGUAA
RNAcentral lists this ribosomal RNA (434 nucleotides) under uncultured cyanobacterium. RNAcentral's name for it is "bacterial SSU rRNA". It matches the Rfam family "Bacterial small subunit ribosomal RNA", at positions 100 to 563 of the family's 1533-position model. Lineage: Bacteria; Bacillati; Cyanobacteriota. The record is from RNAcentral.